GACGAACGCUGGCGGCGUGCUUAACACAUGCAAGUCGAACGGAAAGGCCCCUUUGGGGGUACUCGAGUGGCGAACGGGUGAGUAACACGUGAGUAACCUGCCCUCGACUUCGGGAUAACUUCAGGAAACUGGGGCUAAUACCGGAUAGGAAUCCUUGCUGCAUGGUGGGGGUUGGAAAGCUUCGGCGGUUUUGGAUGGACUCGCGGCUUAUCAGCUUGUUGGUGGGGUAGUGGCUUACCAAGGCUUUGACGGGUAGCCGGCCUGAGAGGGCGACCGGCCACAUUGGGACUGAGAUACGGCCCAGACUCCUACGGGAGGCAGCAGUGGGGAAUAUUGCACAAUGGGCGGAAGCCUGAUGCAGCAACGCCGCGUGCGGGAUGACGGCCUUCGGGUUGUAAACCGCUUUCAGCAGGGGCGAAGCUUUUGUGACGGUACCUGCAGAAGAAGCACCGACUAACUACGUG
This 464-nucleotide ribosomal RNA is filed under the name uncultured bacterium. Its description in RNAcentral is "partial 16S ribosomal RNA". It matches the Rfam family "Bacterial small subunit ribosomal RNA", at positions 28 to 507 of the family's 1533-position model. The record is from RNAcentral.